RNAcentral lists this ribosomal RNA (321 nucleotides) under uncultured bacterium. RNAcentral describes it as "bacterial SSU rRNA". It matches the Rfam family "Bacterial small subunit ribosomal RNA", at positions 28 to 334 of the family's 1533-position model. The record is from RNAcentral.
GACGAACGCUGGCGGCGUGCCUAAUACAUGCAAGUCGAGCGGACGAACUUUCGGUGCUUGCACCGAAUUUUCGUUAGCGGCGGACGGGUGAGUAACACGUGGGCAACCUACCCUAUAGUUUGGGAUAACUCCGGGAAACCGGGGCUAAUACCGAAUAAUACUUUUUGGCUCAUGUCAGAAAGUUGAAAGAUGGUUCUGCUAUCGCUAUAGGAUGGGCCCGCGGCGCAUUAGCUAGUUGGUGAGGUAACGGCUCACCAAGGCAACGAUGCGUAGCCGACCUGAGAGGGUGAUCGGCCACACUGGGACUGAGACACGGCCCAG